Molecule: long non-coding RNA, 1513 nt
Organism: Canis lupus familiaris (dog)
Lineage: Eukaryota; Metazoa; Chordata; Mammalia; Carnivora; Canidae
Exons: 4
Source: RefSeq, a predicted model, not a curated record
UCAUAAUGAUGGUUACCCACAGGUUUCUGUUGAGCUCAGCAAGGAGAUGAUCAGAGGAAAAUCUUCAGUGUGAAUAUGUAAAAGUUCAUCAUCUUCCAGGGUGGCCAGAGCCAAAAACAAACACUCAGUUUUAGGCCAACAGGAUGCCAAGUGCUCUCCAUUUAAUGGCAACUAUCUUGAAGCCAUUUGAAACAGACGCUUGAGUGGGAAGACAACACCCUUAUGCCCUCCUAGACCACCAGGCUCCCAGUGCUCUACGGAGGAACAUCUUCUGCCAGAUUCAUGCCUUCUCUUCAGUUUGAGGCACAGAAGCAGUUGGCUUUUUUUUUUUUUUUUUUAAGUAGGUUUCAUGCCCAGCACAGAGCCCAGUGUGGAGCCUGAACCCAUGACCCUGAGAUCAAAACCCAAGCUGAGAUCAAGAGUCAGGGUUUUUCUACAUAUACUAGGAAUUCUCUGAUACCAGCUUAGAUAUCCUACAAUUCAACCCAAUUCUGACACCUUCUACCGGGAGAUAGCACCAGAUUCCACAGGCUGAGGGCUCAGUCCCACAAAGACCACCCCUGAGUUCAGAUGCCAACUGCAAGUCCAGGUUGUCACCUGUGUUUCUGACCCACUGGCUGGAAAUCAGAAGCCAUCAUCCCUCCUUGGGUUCAAUUAAUUUGCUAGAGUGGCUUACAGUUGGGAAACCAGUUUUCUGUUUGGAUCACCAGUUUAUUACAAAAGAUGGUAAAUACGAAUUAGGAGCCAGAUGAAGAGACACACAGAGCAAGAAGUUGACCUCUGCAGCACUCUCCUGCUCUUGGGGGAAUGUCAUCAGGAAGAGAAUCCAGGCUGAAAACACAACAGCGUGGCAAAGAGGGGACUGUCUGCUGCUCUCUGAGGACACCUGGGGUCCUGCCUCUCCCCCACUCCCCAUUUGAUCUUUAUAGUGUCAUCUCUCACUGUCCCCCACCUCUGUGCAUUUCCUUCCUGCUCACUUGCUCCUGCUGCCUUUUCCUAGCCUCCGCCCAAAUGUCAAGCUCCUCCAGAAGAUGUCUCCCCUGACCAUCAAUGAGCCAGAAUGGAUCUGUCCCACCUCUGGCUCUUGGAUUUCUCAGUCCCAGUGAUUGUCUCUGUUCUGUUCCAUUGGCACCUUCCACACAGAGCUUUAUGAAUUUCAGCUGGUAGCUACUGUGUAAAUUCUUUGAGGAUAAGCUGGCCUUAGGUGUCUCACAGCUCUACAUCCCCUCCUUAGCCACACCCCUUCACUAACACACACAUGUGCAUGUGUACAAUCACGCAUGCAUACAUGCAAUGCUGGCCCAACAGAGGGUACUCUGCUGAGGGCAACUGUAGCCGUUCCAUUAGGGAUUUGCCUCCCCCCAAACCCUCUGGUAUCGCUGUUGAGGCCCUGCUCAUAAGUGAACACAGAACGAAUAUCACUUUGGUAAGGAGCAACUGUCUUCCCUACUUUCAUCUCCUAUGUUGAACCAAUUUCUAGGGUUUCCACCUUCUCAGAGCCAGUGCUUCCUGU